GGAGGGCAAGUCUGGUGCCAGCAGCCGCGGUAAUUCCAGCUCCAAUAGCGUAUAUUAAAGUUGUUGCAGUUAAAAAGCUCGUAGUUGAACUUCUGUACGUUCCCAGUUCUGGCUUUGGUCAAGCUGUGGAGCGUGCAUCCGCUUGCAAACUUAGACCGGCCUUCACUGGUCGACUAAGGGAGUAAGCCCUUUACUUUGAAAAAAUUAGAGUGUUUCUAGCAGGCUUUGGCUCGAAUACAUUAGCAUGGAAUAAUGGAAUAGGACUUUUGUCCAUUUGGUUGGUUAUUGGACAUUAGUAAUGAUUAAAAGGGACAGUUGGGGGCAUUAGUACUUAAUAGUCAGAGGUGAAAUUCUUGGAUUUAUUAAAGACUAACUUAU
Molecule: ribosomal RNA, 378 nt
Filed under: Ciliophora sp.
Lineage: Eukaryota; Ciliophora
Description: SSU rRNA
Rfam family: Eukaryotic small subunit ribosomal RNA
Source: RNAcentral